Long non-coding RNA from Helianthus annuus (common sunflower), 1281 nucleotides. RefSeq lists it as uncharacterized. NCBI's taxonomy places the organism in Eukaryota, Viridiplantae, Streptophyta, Magnoliopsida, Asterales, Asteraceae. The record is from RefSeq and is a predicted model, not a curated record. The transcript is spliced from 8 exons.
AUGAAGCGUCUCGCCUUCAUACCCACACACGGUUACAAAUCUCUUCUCCUCAUCUAUACGAAAACCACCUCAAAUCUUAUUAUUCUCCUUCAUCACUCUCAUCCACAACCCCUACGCCACCAUAACCGCUGCCAUGGGAGACGAUUCCAGCAUGGAGGCUCUUCACAUUCUCGAGUUUUCGUUUAACUUCAAUCGCUUAUCUAAAUUUGUUUUCAUUGCGGCCGUAACCCCAACUUAAUCCGCAUCCAACUGUCUUAGAGGAGGCAAGGUUAAGCAAGUGAACGACCAGAUCUCGGUGGUUUGUAAGGGAGGUGAUGAUAGUUCUGUUCAUGAACAUGGUGGUUGUUCUGCUUCUUCAAUUCAAAAUACAUAAUAAAGACAAGAUUCUAUUCGUUAUUGCCGAUGCACUUCGUGAGAGAUUCAAUGCGAACAAGAACGUGCUGAGAGGAUCUCCGGAUAUUAAUGUUUGUUGUUGUGCUUCAGUGACAAUUUUAUCAGCUCCCAACUCCGGAAAUCUUGAAAAUAUUGUUGAAGUUUUUGAAAGCUCAAAGGAGCCCCCUGUUGAUGAAAGUGAUAGUAACGAUACUGAUGAAAGUGAUUCUCUGAUGAUAUUGAAGAUUCUGAUCAUAGGUUAUAUACAUCAUUGUGUUGUAGGUUUUGCUUGUUUGUGAAUUUACCUUGGGCCUGGGUUAAUCUGUAGUUAAUAAUCUGGUGGUAGCCUAUCCAUAUCUUGUUGAUUCUCUCAAAGGUUUUCUUUGAAGAAUUGCAUUGCAGUCAUGGGCUUUCUUGUUUAUGGAGGAAGGAUGAGCCAACCCCACUUGAUAUAAAAAAGGACCCUAAAAGCAUGUGAGAUGAUAAAUAUGGUAUAAAAGAUUCAUGGGAAGAUGAAGAUGAACCCUCUCCGCCACAAGUGGUAGCACCUCCUGUUGUGAAGGCCGCAAAGAAGUCAACAGUCAAACCGGCUCCAAGAAAAAGGGAUAGCUGUUGUUGAACUAGCAAAAGAGGUGCAUUAAAUCCUUUACUAGAAAAGCUCUAACAAUGAAGGUAUGCACCAUUAAUGGUAUCACCAUUUAUUCGUCUGAAAAUAUACAGUGCAAUCGUAUAAAUUUUGUUACUCUUGUGCAUGGCAUCUUGUGAAGUUGCCUUUUUAUAGCUUUUCCUUCAUUUGUAUGAUGAAUAUAGCAAUUUCAAUUUGGAUCUGUUGGCUUCUUUUCACCUAUGAACCAUUUUCAUGUUCCAAGUUUUAGUCUAUAGUUAGAGUGACUUAUUUAUUGUGGUACC